AUUCUAUACUCUCAUUCCAAUAUAAGUAAACAAUCUACUCCCAUUUUCACUCCACACUACUAAUCUCAAGAUUCUCACUCCAAUUUAAAAUGUAAACGCAGCGUAAAAGAAGAGAGAGAGAGUGAGUGACGACACAAAUGUUGAGACACACACGGAGAGGGUGAUGAUAGAGCUGGCAAAACGGGUCAUCGAAUCGUGUUCGUGUCGUGUCGUGUCAGAUUCGUGUCGUGUCAAAUUUAGGUUGACCCAAACCCAACCCAUUUAAUAAUCGUGUCAAAAUAUUGAGACCCAAACCCGACACGGAAAAAUAAUCGGGUUACCCAAUAACCCGCUUAAUAUCUAUAUAUUAAAUAAAAGUUACAUCAAAUAUUUACACUUUGUUAUACAUAUGUAUGCACAUACAUACAUACAUCCAUACAUACAUACAUAAUUUAUCAAUAUUAUAAAAUAUACAUAUCUACUAAAAUAUUACACACAUUAUUGAUGUUUUAAUUAUAUAUAUGUAAAUAAUAGUAUAUAUCAAUAUUAUAAAAUAUACAUGUCUACCAAUAUUUUAUACAUUUACACUAUUAAAGCUCUAAAUGUAUUUAAAAUUUUAUAAAUAAACUAUUGUGUCUAUAUUCAUCCUUUUAAAGAAUAAAAAAAAAUUAUCCUAAUAUUUGAGUUUUGAUGACAAGAAUCUGUAAAUUAUUUUAAAAUAGAAAAUAUAAUCGGGUCAUUGAUCGGGUAAAUGGGUCAAGAAUUUUAACCCUAACCCGAUACGGAAAAAAAUCGUGUUGACCCGGACCCGACCCAUUUAAUAAUCGUGUUAAAUUCGACGACCCAUACCCAUUUAUUGGUGUCGUGUUCGUGUUGGGUAAUUGGGUCGUGUCAAAUUUUGCCAGCUCUAGGUGAUGAUACAAAACGAGAGAGAAUCAUAGAAGGGUAAUUCUGGCACUCAGAGAAAAAAAAUUGUAUCGACGAUUCCUAGGCCCGCCUUUCUCAAAUAUCCGCUUCGUUAUUUGAGGUAGAAGGGAGAUUAUGGGAUUCAGAGAAAAACAUACACAAUGAAAGGAAUAAAUAACAUUUGUAGACACAUAAUAAGUGAGAAUUUUCUUGUUUAUUUCUUCUCUUAAUCUUGCAAUUUAUUUUGCUACAACCUUUCUGGCACCUUGUUCCAUUUUUUCUAGACCGAUUGUUUGCACAGUGUUUAUAAAAGUCAAAUCGGUUCUGAAGCACAAAAUCUACUCGACUACAUUAUAUUAUAUGAAGUAAACUACCAAACAGACCCUCUUGAAAGUAUGUAUUUCCAUAAAAACCCUCAUAAAUUGAAAUAAUAAUUGUUAUUAUAGCUAAGUGUUCUUAAUGUCAUUUUGAAGCUAUAAUAUAUUAUGAUGUGAUGGGUAUAAAAAAAAAUGCACAUAACACGCAUAUUGUGAUCCGAUGGAUAUGAAUCAAAAUGAUUAAACUACCAAGCCCAUUGAAAUUUGUUGAUGCGAAAAUUUGAGAUGAGUGGUGUGUAAUUGACAACUACUUGAGUUGGAUUGUAGCCCAUCAACAGUUGUUUUUUUAAUGGAAGUGUCUCUCUUACAAAAGCCGAAGCAAUUGAACGGGGAAUAUAGGAGACAAUAAAUUAAUGUACACCUAUCGACAGUCAUUUUUUAAUUUAUUGACUUGGCAAACUCGACAGUCCUUUUUUCUUACAUUUAUAUAAGUUCACCAGAUUAACUCGACUCAUAAGCUAGCUCAAAUACUGAGGAUUAUCUCGAACUUAUAUUAUUAACCUAAUAACUCGGCGAAUGUAUGAUAACGUCUUCAAUAAGAAUCCCAUAAAACGGUGCCGUUAGGCGACGAUACAUGUAAUGGUGGGCAAUCUGUGUGGCUGAAUCCAGUACCGUCGCGUUAAGGUUGGCUCAAAUUAAAUGUUGAUGCUGCAAUGAAUCUGACGGCUGGGAUAGCCGGACUUAGGAGACAACUCUCUGCUUAGGUUCUAGGCCUAUUCCCUUCUUGGGCUUCUCUCCGUCUUCAAACCAGUGUAAAGAUACUAACACCCCUUCACUAUCCUCAUUACACCCUUUUCUUGGAAAUUACAUUUUUAGACAAUCAUACAAUUCUAAUUAAACUCAUUUGUUGUUCCUCUCUCUUCUAAGAAACCCACACAUUCUAUUACUUAUUUUAUCUGCAAAUUCCUUCAUUACAUAGACAUGUCAUUUUCUUUUCUUUUUAAUGUUUGUGACUCGUCAUACAUCCGAUAUUUUAUCGAAAUAACCUUUGCUUCUUUUCUUUUCUUUUCUUACAAAUUUAUUAUUCUCAUGUUUUUUCAAAAAAUAAUUAUUCUCAUACUUAAAGUACACUUUUAAACUAAGGAAAAUUCAAAUAUAUUUAUUUUAGAUCAGGGUUAUCACCCAGAAAUAUUAUUUGUGUGGAGGUAGAAAAUAAGAUUGUAAGAGAAGAAAGACUCCAUUUUAUUUUAGGAGUGAGAAAACACCACCAAAAAAAAAAAAAAAACAACAACAACAACAACAAACAAACAAACAAACUAAAUAGGGUUUAAGAAGAAAAGUGUAUUUUUAGUAUUAAAACUAGUAAAAUUGGAAAUAGUUUCAUCAGGAAUUUAGAAGGGUGGUAGAAGCUCCACUCUUAAAACUAGUUGUUUUUCAUUGGUUAUGGACCUUUUCGUCUUCUUCCGGGGCUUGUUGUAAUUUUCUUUUAUGCCGGGUUUAACCAAUUGUAAUAAAAUGAAAUGCCAUUCAAGAGAGUGAGAUUUCAAUACGAUCCCACAUCUACAAACAUACAUCAAAAUUGAUUAACAUAUGGGUCCGCCUACGUUACAUUUAAUGUAACGUACAGUCAGCCUGUGAAAUUUCAUCCAGCCCCUUAUACUCUAUGUUAUUUAUAUUUUAUUCAUGAAUAUUAUAAAUUUUUUGAAAUNNNNNNNNNNNNNNNNNNNNNNNNNNNNNNNNNNNNNNNNNNNNNNNNNNNNNNNNNNNNNNNNNNNNNNNNNNNNNNNNNNNNNNNNNNNNNNNNNNNNAUAACAAUUUUUAUUAUAAAAAUAAGUUUUAUACCAAAUAUUAAAAAAAAUCUAGAUAAUCAUUAAUUAUUAUUAUUAUUAUUAACAAUUUAAUAAAAAAUAUUAUUAAUUAUUGUUAAUAGAUUAAUUAAUUAUAAUGCUUUUUAUUAUUGUUAUUAAUAAUAACAAUAAUCUAUUUAAAAAAAUAUUUAUGAUUAUAAUAAAUAAUUAUAAUAAUUAUAAUUCAUUUAACAAUAAUUAUAUUUUUUAAUUAAAUGGAGGUUAUUUUGAGAAUUUAAUAUUAUAGGGGCGAAUUCAUACUCUAGGGUUUUAAUAAAAUAAAAUUGAGUAUAAGGGGUUAAACGAAAUUUUAUAUUUCAAAAAAUUUAUAAUAUUCAUGAAUAAAAUAUAAAUAACAUAGAGUACAAGGGGCUAGAUGAAAUUUUACAGGCUGACUGUACGUUACAGUAAAUGUAACGUAGGCGGACCCUUAACAUAUUAUUUAUUACAAGUAGACAAUGGAUUAUAUUAAGGUAUUUUCAACUGAGUAGACACAUUCUAAAUUUUUUUAUGUCGAAAAAUUAUCUCAAAUGAUGUGACAUUCAUUAAUUAGUUAGUGAAACAAAUAAUCAAUUCACUUAAAUCUUAUAAACAUUUACUAACCAACCACUCAAUAAAUGCUAUAUCAUUGGAAUGAAAUUUUGUAUAAAAAAUUUGGGAUGCCUAUCAUUAUUCUUUUUAAAUAUGACAAAAAAUAUAAUUGUACUAUAUGAACAAGUGAUACACUAAAGAGAUACGAAUGAAUGAUUCAUGUUCCAACAAAAUGGAUUCAUAUAACAAAUUAGAACUAAUUAGGAGUUACAACUCUUUCUAAUUAUCCGUCACCUUCAGAUUAGUGGUACAUGAAUAGUAGUGUUGAGAAAGGAACAUACCAAAAAUAAACUACAAUAAUGAGCAAUUAAGCUACAUUUUUUCUCUAUCAGCGCGUAUGUACAACAACAUAACUAUAGGAACUAAUUGAUAUUAUUAUUAUGCGAAUAUGCUUUCCAUGACAAUAUCACUAGUCGCAUGACCAAAAAAUACCGACAUUCACAAUAAUCUCUCAGAGCCCGUUCAGAAGAAAUCAUUCAGUGUGGAGAUAUGAGACAUGAAGAAAUCAAACGUCUCUAACAAUAUAAAUAUGCUUAGUCAUCAAUUUACCCCUUACUUACCAACUAAGAUUUUUUUUUUUUUUUUUAGUUUGGAGAAUAAUAAAGAAGAGAGAAUCUUGAAAACUCCUUCAUUUGCUACAAAACGUGAACUGUUUUCACCUAUACGAGAGAGACGUGAUCUUCUCUUUUAUCUUCAAAAAUACAACGAUUCAUUUCUUUAAUUUGCCUAGUAACAAAAAAAAAGAGGUAGAACGUCAUCAUACUGCCCAGGAACCUUACUAGCUUUCUUUCCUUGCCCAAAAGGAAAAAUAUUAUUCUCCAUUAACAAACAGCUACAAAGCUUGGAACAUCCCGAAACAUUGUUCUCCAUUUCCCCAUCUUUUUAUUAUUCAUGGUAGCAUUGCACUCUAAUUGAGAUAAAUGCAUGUAUCCGCAACUAUAUUAAUUGAGGAGACAAAUUACAAUUUCCCAGGCAUGAUGAACCAAUUAUCCACAGGUACAAUUAAAAUUUCAAAUGGACAUAUUUAUGUAAUUCCUAAAGCCUACCAAGCUUCUUAGUUAAUCUGCUCAAAAUAGAAUAUUCUAUAGCCACAUUUUGAUAAAUUGGGGUUGUUCAAGUCCUAUAUUCUUUGAAAGCUGAUUCUUGGAAUUGGUUGCUGAGUUUCCAAUUAUUAAUUGAACUAUAGUGAUUAACACACACACAUAUUUAUGAUUAAGGUACAGUCACAUGUAAUCUUUCGUUUACUAAUAAACUACAACAUGUUUCUUUUGCUAGCUAGCUAGUUGGUUUUUAAACAUAUAUAUGAAUUAUCUAACAGUAUAUAACAAUACGCAUAAUCCAGGUUAAACUAGAUUAAAUUAAACCGAAGAAUUAUGAAGCUUAAAAGUCACAAAGUAGGCUUUUCUAUUACAGUACUGCAAAGAAUGCAAAUUCAAUUUACCUUCUCAGAUCUCGUAAAGCUAUAUCAUUAAUUGGACCUUAAUAAAUAACCGAAGAAGGAAUUAUAAGAACCCAUAGAUGUAUUAAGUACUUCUCCCCCGAAAGCUUAUAUUCAUGGAACAAAGCAACUUGAGACACUUCCCAAUAAGCCAACAGAGGGACAAAUCCACAAGUCAACAAGAUUUUCCUUUUUCAUGAAUUAAUAGGUCUACCAUUACUCAACAUGCAUUAUAAAUCAUCCAAAAACUAGGAUAAGUAUGGAAAGAAAAAAGAGUGUGUGUGUGUGUGAGAGAGAGAGAGAGAGUUAAAAGGAAUCUGCAUUCAAAAAAGGAAAAAAGGGAGAAAAUAUCGAUCAAACCUCUUCUUCAGGUGAUUUCAAACGGGGGGCAUUGGUUUUUGAUCUAAAGAUGACUCCAUGGAUAAUUAAUUUACUGAAACACCAACACACUAUUUGAAUAUUUAUUUAUUUAUUUAUUGGUUAUGUAAGAAUUAUUUUCAAUAAAAGAACUCGAAUACGGGAAGAGAAAGCCAGGAGACGACACAGAUAAGAGAGUGACUUACAGUCCUGAUGUGCAAUAUGGUCCAAUUCUUCUCAAUGAAGAAAACGUACGACUCUUGUUAUCUUCAAGAAUUAUGGACCAACUUAAACUUGUUAACUGUCACAUGCAUGCGGGGCCCUUUUUUUUAUAUAACACUGUUAUGCCAAUGAUAUUAUAAAUUAAUAAUUUGCUAAAAUAUUAAUGUAAUUGUUAUGAUA
Molecule: long non-coding RNA, 5837 nt
Filed under: Citrus x clementina
Lineage: Eukaryota; Viridiplantae; Streptophyta; Magnoliopsida; Sapindales; Rutaceae
Description: Citrus clementina (C. clementina) long non-coding RNA (CCLE_LNC000166)
Source: RNAcentral